GUGGGUAUCUUAUACAAGCGAGCCAAGUUGGUGAAUUCCACAUCCAUUGUUGAUGCAGCGUGCGCAAAGAUCACAGGAGAAUGUGGGCUCAGAGCACAAGCCGGCGGGAAUUAACGAAAAUUGUGGGAGAGACUUUGACUUUCACAGACUCGGAAACUGGCAGGAAACUGAGCCGUUUGUUCAUUGGUGUUGAAGAGGCAAGAAGGCUCCAGAUGGUGUUUGGGUCACAAUACAUUUACGUGACUUCAGAGGAGAAGGGGAACUCCUGACGUGUGAGGCAGAGUGACGGGCGCUUGACGCAGCUUCUCUGUUACCCUCACACCAGCCCUUCGAGGCAGGCGGCCUCAUACCCUGUUGUGCACGAGGGGACUGCAGCUCUGAAUGGCCCAGUAAUUUGCCGAAGGCCUGCCUUGAGUACCAAGAAACAGCCAGGACUCUGCAGACAGGUCCAGCACUCACUGCGUUUCUUCAUCUCUAAAACAGACUGUAACUGUGGCUCCCUCGUAGGUUGUUGUAAGGAUCAAAUCAGUGAAAAUGGGAAGAGUUCUAGGAAGAAGGCGUGAUGCUAGGUUUAGGAGCAUGGAGUCCAAUCCUCCCGGCUCUAAGCAGGACCCAGCCAGCCUGCUCUACCCAGAGCCUUCCUUAGCUACUCCCAGCCACGCAAUGUCAAUCACAACCUCCUGCCUCUCCGGCAGGCCAGGGCAGUGGAAGUUCUGACCAGUUCCUCAGCCCAGAAGACCUCCCAGGAACCUGGCCUGCCUCUGUCCUGAGCUUUCACACAGGGUUCCUCAAGCUCGGCCCUGCUGACAUCUGGGAUUGGGUAAUUCUUAGGUGGGGGCACUGUCCUAUGCAUUAAAGGAUGUUUAGCAUCA
RNAcentral lists this long non-coding RNA (872 nucleotides) under Equus asinus (donkey). RNAcentral describes it as "lncRNA (ENSEASG00005034672.1)". Lineage: Eukaryota; Metazoa; Chordata; Mammalia; Perissodactyla; Equidae. The record is from RNAcentral.